RNAcentral lists this ribosomal RNA (253 nucleotides) under uncultured bacterium. RNAcentral's name for it is "partial 16S ribosomal RNA". It matches the Rfam family "Bacterial small subunit ribosomal RNA", at positions 524 to 776 of the family's 1533-position model. The record is from RNAcentral.
UACAGAGGGUGCAAGCGUUGUUCGGAAUUAUUGGGCGUAAAGGGAGUGUAGGCGGCUUGUUAAGUCUUCUGUGAAAUCUACGGGCUCAGCCUGUAGCGUGCAGAGGAAACUGGCGAGCUUGAGUGUCGGAGAGGAUAGGGGAAUACCCGGUGUAGAGGUGAAAUUCGUAGAGAUCGGGUGGAACACCAGUGGCGAAGGCGCCUAUCUGGCUGACAACUGACGCUGAGACUCGAAAGCAUGGGGAGCAAACAGG